GACUCCAAGGCUGGCUCCUCUACAGAUGAGGAGGCGUCUGAAGCAGGGGAGAAGGGAGAGCAGUACGAGGAGCUGGCCACCCCACCCCUUCCAGAACGACUCAUGGAGGAAAAGAAAAAGGCAGCUCCCUCCAAAGAUGAGACGUCAUGUGGAGACCUGAUCAAAGCCACCGUGGACAGCAGGACUGCCAGUGUAGGGGACCUGGAGGUCAACCCAGUGUCCAGAGCUAUCGCCCACCACAUGGGCAUUGACCUGUCACCUGAGGGCCAGGCUACACGAAACCGCCG
This is a long non-coding RNA of Oncorhynchus tshawytscha (Chinook salmon), 287 nucleotides long. Lineage: Eukaryota; Metazoa; Chordata; Actinopteri; Salmoniformes; Salmonidae. The record is from Ensembl.